Molecule: ribosomal RNA, 301 nt
Filed under: uncultured bacterium
Lineage: Bacteria
Description: partial 16S ribosomal RNA
Rfam family: Bacterial small subunit ribosomal RNA
Source: RNAcentral
CAGUCGCCGCGGUAAAACGAAGGGUGCAAGCGUUAAUCGGAAUUACUGGGCGUAAAGCGUGCGUAGGCGGUGAGUUAAGUCUGCUGUGAAAUCCCCGGGCUCAACCUGGGAAUGGCAGUGGAUACUGGCUCGCUAGAGUGUGUCAGAGGAUGGUGGAAUUCCCGGUGUAGCGGUGAAAUGCGUAGAUAUCGGAAGGAACACCUGUGGCGAAAGCGGCUCACUGGACCAUUUCUGACGCUGAUGCACGAAAGCUAGGGGAGCAAACAGGAUUAGAUACCCGUGUAGUCCCUGUCUCUUAUAC